UGGGGAAUUUUGCACAAUGGGGGAAACCCUGAUGCAGCGACGCCGCGUGAUUUAGAAGGCCUUCGGGUUGUAAAAAUCUUUUCUAUGGGAAGAAAAUGACAGUACCAUAGGAAUAAGGACCGGCUAAUUACGUGCCAGCAGCCGCGGUAAUACGUAAGGUCCGAGCGUUGUCCGGAAUCAUUGGGCGUAAAGGGUACGUAGGCGGGUAAGCAAGUUAGAAGUGAAAUCCUAUAGCUCAACUCUAGUAAGCUUUUAAAACUGCUCAUCUUGAGGUAUGGAAGGGAAAGUGGAAUUCCUAGUGUAGCGGUGAAAUGCGCAGAUAUUAGGAGGAAUACCGGUGGCGAAGGCGACUUUCUGGCCAUAACCUGACGCUGAGGUACGAAAGCGUGGGUAGCAAACAGG
Molecule: ribosomal RNA, 402 nt
Filed under: bacterium
Lineage: Bacteria
Description: partial 16S ribosomal RNA
Rfam family: Bacterial small subunit ribosomal RNA
Source: RNAcentral